This 370-nucleotide ribosomal RNA is filed under the name uncultured organism. RNAcentral's name for it is "bacterial SSU rRNA". It matches the Rfam family "Bacterial small subunit ribosomal RNA", at positions 526 to 896 of the family's 1533-position model. The record is from RNAcentral.
CGUAGGGUGCGAGCGUUAAUCGGAAUUACUGGGCGUAAAGCGUGCGCAGGCGGUUCGUUAAGUCAGAUGUGAAAGCCCCGAGCUCAACUUGGGAACUGCAUUUGAAACUGGCGGGCUGGAGUGUGGCAGAGGGGGGUGGAAUUCCACGUGUAGCAGUGAAAUGCGUAGAGAUGUGGAGGAACACCGAUGGCGAAGGCAGCCCCCUGGGCCAACACUGACGCUCAGGCACGAAAGCGUGGGGAGCAAACAGGAUUAGAUACCCUGGUAGUCCACGCCCUAAACGAUGUCAACUGGGUGUUGGGGAAGCGAUUCCUUGGUACCGUAGCUAACGCGUGAAGUUGACCGCCUGGGGAGUACGGCCGCAAGGUUA